Molecule: ribosomal RNA, 864 nt
Filed under: Rhodococcus sp. LS7-MRL
Lineage: Bacteria; Bacillati; Actinomycetota; Actinomycetes; Mycobacteriales; Nocardiaceae
Description: bacterial SSU rRNA
Rfam family: Bacterial small subunit ribosomal RNA
Source: RNAcentral
CCCGACGACCGGCUGACACAACAUGCAAGUCGAGCGGUAAGGCCUUUCGGGGUACACGAGCGGCGAACGGGUGAGUAACACGUGGGUGAUCUGCCCUGCACUUCGGGAUAAGCCUGGGAAACUGGGUCUAAUACCGGAUAUGACCUCCUAUCGCAUGGUGGGUGGUGGAAAGAUUUAUCGGUGCAGGAUGGGCCCGCGGCCUAUCAGCUUGUUGGUGGGGUAAUGGCCUACCAAGGCGACGACGGGUAGCCGACCUGAGAGGGUGACCGGCCACACUGGGACUGAGACACGGCCCAGACUCCUACGGGAGGCAGCAGUGGGGAAUAUUGCACAAUGGGCGAAAGCCUGAUGCAGCGACGCCGCGUGAGGGAUGACGGCCUUCGGGUUGUAAACCUCUUUCAGCAGGGACGAAGCGCAAGUGACGGUACCUGCAGAAGAAGCACCGGCUAACUACGUGCCAGCAGCCGCGGUAAUACGUAGGGUGCAAGCGUUGUCCGGAAUUACUGGGCGUAAAGAGUUCGUAGGCGGUUUGUCGCGUCGUUUGUGAAAACCAGCAGCUCAACUGCUGGCUUGCAGGCGAUACGGGCAGACUUGAGUACUGCAGGGGAGACUGGAAUUCCUGGUGUAGCGGUGAAAUGCGCAGAUAUCAGGAGGAACACCGGUGGCGAAGGCGGGUCUCUGGGCAGUAACUGACGCUGAGGAACGAAAGCGUGGGUAGCGAACAGGAUUAGAUACCCUGGUAGUCCACGCCGUAAACGGUGGGCGCUAGGUGUGGGUUCCUUCCACGGAAUCCGUGCCGUAGCUAACGCAUUAAGCGCCCCGCCUGGGGGAGUACGGCCGCAAGGCUAAAACUCAAAGGAAUUG